This is a long non-coding RNA of Sciurus carolinensis (gray squirrel), 844 nucleotides long. RefSeq lists it as uncharacterized. The transcript has 3 exons. The record is from RefSeq and is a predicted model, not a curated record. NCBI's taxonomy places the organism in Eukaryota, Metazoa, Chordata, Mammalia, Rodentia, Sciuridae.
CCCAGACAAGCUAGAACAUUUCAAACAAGUUCCAGUUUUUACUUUCAUCCUGAGAAAGAAGCUGGGAGUUUCCUACUUUUCAUUCUGUGCUGCAGAAUGAGAGUUCAUAAUUUCUGCUGUGUACAGUGGCACAUGCCUGUAAGCCCAGAAGCUCAGGAGGCUGAGGCAGAAGGAUCCUGAGUUCAAAGCCAGCUUCAGCAACUUAGUGAGGCCCUAAGCAACUCACUUGUAUUACAGAAAUAUCAGGAUCUCACAGGAAAAGAAUCAGAGCCUGGCUACAAGUGCACUCCCCAGAGGAACUAUCAGGUCCCAAACUCCAGCCUGCCACAGUGACAUCUCUCUCCCCUGAAUCAGCUCUACGUCCACACCCAGCAGGAAGCAGUUACUGAAGAUGGACCUUCGUCCAUGUACCCAAAAGAGAUCUUCUUAUAAAAACAAAAAAGGGGGAAUAUAAUAUAAAGUUGCUCCUCUGCCCUUUACGCUGCAGCCAUUUCUCCACCUCUCAUCUUACAACCUAGCUUGUCAGUCUGUGAACAUCCUAGCUAGCUAUUGGUUCAUCAGUCAGCCUGUAAGUCUCCUACUCAGUUAUUGGUCCCUUGUUAGCCCACCGAACUCCAAUAUUUAGGAGAAGCUCCUGCACCAUUCUUUCUCUUUUCCUUUCUUUCCAGCCCCGAGUGGAUGCUCUAGUCGACCGCCUAAUAAAAUCUCUGGUGUGAGUUCCUGUGUCUGCAGUGGCUUUCUGGGUGCUGUCGCUGGGCCACGACUCAGACUGGGCACCCCAGAGUGCCUGCUCCCCUGGAUUUAAGGGUCUGAGCUGCUUUGGAACCCAAGCUGAGCUGCAUUU